CUCUCCUGUUAAAAUAUGGUGAUAUUUUAAAUUAAAAUUUUUCCUUACAAUUUCAUCCAUGCUUGUAUUUUCUCAUCGUAUAUCACAUCAUCGAUUUAUAGUUAAAAAACUAUCUUGGACUUUCCCUCCCGUCCUCUUGCAAACACUGGGUGUAGUUUUCCCUCUCGUUCCAUUUGCAUAGUCUCAUAUACUUGCAAUUUUGUUCAGUUGUUCCUUCACAACUCACAUCCCUUUGCCCACUUUCAUAGAUCUCCGAUUGUUUGAGAUUCAGGGGAAAUUUGUAAUCCAGUGUGUAGUCCAAUCAAGAUACUCAACAUGUAUGGGAGAAAAGCUUGCCAACUUGUGAAAGAAUUUGCAAGUGGAGAAAAGGGCCAGCUCACACCAUUUAAUAAUGACUUGUUUGAUCAAGUAGUUGCAGAAUGCAGCCAACACAACGGUGAGCUCCAGUCCAUGAUAAGGAAGAUGCAGGAAGAAGGCUUGGAUGUCCAAACUGCUAGAAAUGCUGACCACUACGGAGCCCUCAUCCACCUAUUUUCUAUAGUCCGAAAUAAACAUUGUCUAACAGCCUAUGUGUAUAACCGAGCAGAAACUAUACGGAACUUGUUAUGGAAAAUAGGGCCCGUGAUCCCUAAAGAAAUUGAAGAGAAGCUUGAUCAUUGGGAGGAAGAGUAUUUCAAGAAGCAUUCUUCAGCAUUAAAAUCUUAUAUGUCAAAAGUGCUGGUUGAUCUGACUGUGGAUAUGGUACCACCAAAAGAUCCAUACAUCCAAGUAAGGGUCCUUGAAGACAUAAUAGAAGGCAUAGUACUUAGUGAUGAUAAGAAUCCCAAUUUUGCCCGGCAUUCAAUGCAUUUUCUGAAACGAACUGAUGCUGAGAAAUAUAUCUCGCGGGGCUUAAUGGAGGAGCUCACUGGUUGACCUUCUAGUCCUUUACCUGCAAGUCUGGAACAAAAUGUAGAUGAAGAAUUGAAGAUGAGUAUUACAGAUUUACCUUCAUCACUUUUCGCCUAGUACUUAAUGGACACGUUAUUGAACAGUGUUGACAUUUUGUUGUUGGUUUUCUUGUUGGACCACCACAAGAUAAAUUGAACGGGCUGUUUUUUGUUAUCAAUUAAUUAUACACAUGCAUAUUCGCAGUGUUUGCAAUGGAUUUGGAUUAGCAGGAAAGGCACAACGACAGCCAGAACACCCACUGAAUUUCGACUGUGCUUCUCUGAUUCACAACUUACAUUUCAACUCUUAUCAUUCACGGUGAAUGCAACAAAGGGCAUCUUUAUUUCCUGGUUUGUUACACUUACUCUUUUAUUCAUUCACUCAUUCUUAUUCCCAUUUCAACCUGCAAUUUGCAAACUUUGCUUCUAUCAUUUUGAACGAAUAAAUGUGUACUGUUAUGUUGAAUACUGAAUUUGCAGUGACUUUACCUAAUUACCUAUGGCUCAAUAUAUCAUUAAUAUGAAUGCUUCACUGUCUGCAUCUGACAAAUUCAUAAUACAUAUCUUGGAUAGUACUCACAUGUUUGUUCAACCCCAUGUCGAGCUAAUGAUUCGAAGUCAAAUUUCAAAGUUUAGAGAGGACAAUACAUAUGUCAAGCCGUCUUGAUUCAAUCUGUGGACAAUAUGUUUCUUGUAUUUCAAUUUCGUCUUAGUUCAUAAUUAUGUAACCUUUCUAUACGUCUGAAAACACAUUUCCAUUAAUGUUGUGAGUGAUUUUCCAUUUGAUAAGUUGUAUAGACACAUAAUACAGCUAUCUUGAUUAAAUUGAUGAAGAACUGGUGUAUUAUAAACAUGGCCAAGUUCCUAAAUAGGAGUAAGCAUUAUAUUUCGCGAA
RNA transcript from Trifolium pratense (red clover), 1824 nucleotides. It is a transcript of the gene named DNA replication complex GINS protein PSF1-like, with no coding region annotated. The transcript is spliced from 8 exons. The record is from RefSeq and is a predicted model, not a curated record. Lineage: Eukaryota; Viridiplantae; Streptophyta; Magnoliopsida; Fabales; Fabaceae.